GGAUAUAGCUCAGUUGGUAGAGUGCUUGCCUUGCAUGCACAAGGCCCUGGGUUCCAUCCCCAGCACCA
Molecule: transfer RNA, 68 nt
Filed under: Marmota monax (woodchuck)
Lineage: Eukaryota; Metazoa; Chordata; Mammalia; Rodentia; Sciuridae
Description: tRNA.Ala
Rfam family: tRNA (bases 6-63)
About the family: Transfer RNA (tRNA) molecules are approximately 80 nucleotides in length. Their secondary structure includes four short double-helical elements and three loops (D, anti-codon, and T loops).
Source: RNAcentral